GGAAGGGUGCCAGAGCGGUCAAAUGGAAUGGUUUGGAGAACCAUGCUCCUCACGGGGUCCGUGGGUUCGAAUCCCACCCCUUCCG
Molecule: transfer RNA, 85 nt
Filed under: bacterium
Lineage: Bacteria
Description: tRNA-Ser
Rfam family: tRNA
About the family: Transfer RNA (tRNA) molecules are approximately 80 nucleotides in length.
Source: RNAcentral